RNAcentral lists this non-coding RNA (111 nucleotides) under Paenibacillus macerans. Its description in RNAcentral is "Guanine sequence". It matches the Rfam family "Purine riboswitch aptamer". From Rfam's summary of the family: Riboswitches are metabolite binding domains within certain messenger RNAs that serve as precision sensors for their corresponding targets. Allosteric rearrangement of mRNA structure is mediated by ligand binding, and this results in modulation of gene expression. Lineage: Bacteria; Bacillati; Bacillota; Bacilli; Caryophanales; Paenibacillaceae. The record is from Rfam by way of RNAcentral.
GCGAAAAAAAUCAUACUUUCUCGUAUAACCCCGUAAUCGGCCAAUGCCGACAGGGCGGGGGUUUCUACAGGGAGCCUUUACUUCCUAACUACGAUGACAAGGAAUUCAGAA